Molecule: ribosomal RNA, 113 nt
Filed under: uncultured bacterium
Lineage: Bacteria
Description: partial 16S ribosomal RNA
Rfam family: Bacterial small subunit ribosomal RNA
Source: RNAcentral
CCCUGACGCAGCGACGCCGCGUGGAGGAGGAAGGCCUUCGGGUUGUAAACUCCUUUUGGGUGGGAAGAAACAAAUGACGGUACCACCCGAAUAAGCCCCGGCUAACUCCGUGC